RNAcentral lists this non-coding RNA (207 nucleotides) under Ditylum brightwellii. The record is from RNAcentral. Lineage: Eukaryota; Bacillariophyta; Thalassiosirophyceae; Lithodesmiales; Lithodesmiaceae.
UGUCAUUAAUAAUGUUUACGGAGCGGUGUGAGUUAUGAUUGUGACUUCUCUUUCUGCUUUGAUGUUCAGAAAUGAUGUGGAAUGGCUUAUAAUGUACCAACCGAAUGACAGUGAUCGAAAAGAUUUACUACGGCUCGAACCUAUGAAGAAAAAAAUUAUGUACAAAUGUUUAUACAAAUUAAGAUAUCUACUCAGUGAUUUUUUUUA